This 528-nucleotide ribosomal RNA is filed under the name uncultured bacterium. RNAcentral describes it as "bacterial SSU rRNA". It matches the Rfam family "Bacterial small subunit ribosomal RNA", at positions 355 to 896 of the family's 1533-position model. The record is from RNAcentral.
UGGGGAAUUUUCCGCAAUGGGCGAAAGCCUGACGGAGCAAUACCGCGUGAGGGAGGAAGGUUCUUGGAUUGUAAACCUCUUUUCUAGGGGAAUAAAAAAAUGAAGGUACCCUAGGAAUAAGCAUCGGCUAACUCCGUGCCAGCAGCCGCGGUAAUACGGAGGAUGCAAGCGUUAUCCGGAAUUAUUGGGCGUAAAGAGUCCGUAGGUGGAAGUUCAAGUCUGUCGUUAAAGAAUGGAGCUUAACUCCAUAGAGGCGGUGGAAACUGAACAACUAGAGUGCGGUAGGGGUAACGGGAAUUCCCAGUGUAGCGGUGAAAUGCGUAGAUAUUGGGAAGAACAUCGGUGGCGAAAGCGCGUUACUGGGCCGAAACUGACACUGAGGGACGAAAGCUAGGGUAGCGAAAGGGAUUAGAUACCCCUGUAGUCCUAGCCGUAAACGAUGGAUACUAGGCGUAGCACGUAUCGACCCGUGCUGUGCCGAAGCUAACGCGUUAAGUAUCCCGCCUGGGGAGUACGCUCGCAAGAGUG